GGUUAAGUGACUAAGCGUACACGGUGGAUGCCUAGGCAGUCAGAGGCGAUGAAGGGCGUGCUAAUCUGCGAAAAGCGUCGGUAAGGUGAUAUGAACCGUUAUAACCGGCGAUACCCGAAUGGGGAAACCCAGUGUGUUUCGACACACUAUCAUGUCAUGAAUACAUAGUGGCAUGAGGCGAACCGGGGGAACUGAAACAUCUAAGUACCCCGAGGAAAAGAAAUCAACCGAGAUUCCCCCAGUAGCGGCGAGCGAACGGGGAGGAGCCCAGAACCUGAAUCGGCUUGUGUGUUAGUGGAAGCGUCUGGAAAGUCGCGCAGCAAAGGGUGAUAGCCCCGUACACUAAAAUGCACAGGUCGUGAGUUCGAUGAGUAGGGCGGGACACGUGACAUCCUGUCUGAAUAUGGGGGGACCAUCCUCCAAGGCUAAAUACUCCUGACUGACCGAUAGUGAACCAGUACCGUGAGGGAAAGGCGAAAAGAACCCCGGCGAGGGGAGUGAAAUAGAACCUGAAACCGUGUACGUACAAGCAGUGGGAGCACCUUCGUGGUGUGACUGCGUACCUUUUGUAUAAUGGGUCAGCGACUUAUAUUUUGUAGCAAGGUUAACCGUAUAGGGGAGCCGUAGGGAAACCGAGUCUUAACUGGGCGAAUAGUUGCAAGGUAUAGACCCGAAACCCGGUGAUCUAGCCAUGGGCAGGUUGAAGGUUGGGUAACACUAACUGGAGGACCGAACCGACUAAUGUUGAAAAAUUAGCGGAUGACUUGUGGCUGGGGGUGAAAGGCCAAUCAAACCGGGAGAUAGCUGGUUCUCCCCGAAAGCUAUUUAGGUAGCGCCUCGUGAACUCAUCUUCGGGGGUAGAGCACUGUUUCGGCUAGGGGGCCAUCCCGGCUUACCAAACCGAUGCAAACUCCGAAUACCGAAGAAUGUUAUCACGGGAGACACACGGCGGGUGCUAACGUCCGUCGUGAAGAGGGAAACAACCCAGACCGCCAGCUAAGGUCCCAAAGUCAUGGUUAAGUGGGAAACGAUGUGGGAAGGCAUAGACAGCCAGGAUGUUGGCUUAGAAGCAGCCAUCAUUUAAAGAAAGCGUAAUAGCUCACUGGUCGAGUCGGCCUGCGCGGAAGAUGUAACGGGGCUAAACCAUGCACCGAAGCUGCGGCAGCGACGCUUAGGCGUUGUUGGGUAGGGGAGCGUUCUGUAAGCCGUUGAAGGUGGCCUGUGAGGGUUGCUGGAGGUAUCAGAAGUGCGAAUGCUGACAUAAGUAACGAUAAAGCGGGUGAAAAGCCCGCUCGCCGGAAGACCAAGGGUUCCUGUCCAACGUUAAUCGGGGCAGGGUGAGUCGACCCCUAAGGCGAGGCUGAAAAGCGUAGUCGAUGGGAAACAGGUUAAUAUUCCUGUACUUGGUGUUACUGCGAAGGGGGGACGGAGAAGGCUAGGCUGGCCGGGCGACGGUUGUCCCGGUUUAAGCGUGUAGGGGGUGUGACCUGGUAAAUCCGGUUGCAUACUAACCCUGAGGCGUGAUGACGAUGCACUACGGUGCAGAAGUAGUUGAUGCCCUGCUUCCAGGAAAAUCCUCUAAGCUCCAGGUAACAUUAAAUCGUACCCCAAACCGACACAGGUGGUCAGGUAGAGAAUACCAAGGCGCUUGAGAGAACUCGGGUGAAGGAACUAGGCAAAAUGGUGCCGUAACUUCGGGAGAAGGCACGCUGGCAUGUAGGUGAAGUCCCU
RNAcentral lists this ribosomal RNA (1731 nucleotides) under Serratia ureilytica. Its description in RNAcentral is "partial 23S ribosomal RNA". It matches the Rfam family "Bacterial large subunit ribosomal RNA", at positions 1 to 1769 of the family's 2925-position model. The record is from RNAcentral. Lineage: Bacteria; Pseudomonadati; Pseudomonadota; Gammaproteobacteria; Enterobacterales; Yersiniaceae.